RNAcentral lists this ribosomal RNA (1664 nucleotides) under Salmonella enterica subsp. enterica serovar Enteritidis. RNAcentral's name for it is "partial 23S ribosomal RNA". It matches the Rfam family "Bacterial large subunit ribosomal RNA", at positions 1214 to 2855 of the family's 2925-position model. Lineage: Bacteria; Pseudomonadati; Pseudomonadota; Gammaproteobacteria; Enterobacterales; Enterobacteriaceae. The record is from RNAcentral.
CUGUGUGUUGUUGGGUAGGGGAGCGUUCUGUAAGCCUGUGAAGGUGUGUCGUGAGGCAUGCUGGAGGUAUCAGAAGUGCGAAUGCUGACAUAAGUAACGAUAAAGCGGGUGAAAAGCCCGCUCGCCGGAAGACCAAGGGUUCCUGUCCAACGUUAAUCGGGGCAGGGUGAGUCGACCCCUAAGGCGAGGCCGAAAGGCGUAGUCGAUGGGAAACGGGUUAAUAUUCCCGUACUUGGUGUUACUGCGAAGGGGGGACGGAGAAGGCUAUGUUGGCCGGGCGACGGUUGUCCCGGUUUAAGCGUGUAGGUGUGUGUUCCAGGUAAAUCCGGUUCACUUUAACACUGAGGCGUGACGACGAGGCACUACGGUGCUGAAGCAACAAAUGCCCUGCUUCCAGGAAAAGCCUCUAAGCAUCAGGUAACAUCAAAUCGUACCCCAAACCGACACAGGUGGUCAGGUAGAGAAUACCAAGGCGCUUGAGAGAACUCGGGUGAAGGAACUAGGCAAAAUGGUGCCGUAACUUCGGGAGAAGGCACGCUGACACGUAGGUGAAGUGAUUUACUCAUGGAGCUGAAGUCAGUCGAAGAUACCAGCUGGCUGCAACUGUUUAUUAAAAACACAGCACUGUGCAAACACGAAAGUGGACGUAUACGGUGUGACGCCUGCCCGGUGCCGGAAGGUUAAUUGAUGGGGUCAGCGCAAGCGAAGCUCCUGAUCGAAGCCCCGGUAAACGGCGGCCGUAACUAUAACGGUCCUAAGGUAGCGAAAUUCCUUGUCGGGUAAGUUCCGACCUGCACGAAUGGCGUAAUGAUGGCCAGGCUGUCUCCACCCGAGACUCAGUGAAAUUGAACUCGCUGUGAAGAUGCAGUGUACCCGCGGCAAGACGGAAAGACCCCGUGAACCUUUACUAUAGCUUGACACUGAACAUUGAGCCUUGAUGUGUAGGAUAGGUGGGAGGCUUUGAAGUGUGGACGCCAGUCUGCAUGGAGCCGACCUUGAAAUACCACCCUUUAAUGUUUGAUGUUCUAACGUGGACCCGUUACCCGGGUUGCGGACAGUGUCUGGUGGGUAGUUUGACUGGGGCGGUCUCCUCCUAAAGAGUAACGGAGGAGCACGAAGGUUGGCUAAUCCUGGUCGGACAUCAGGAGGUUAGUGCAAUGGCAUAAGCCAGCUUGACUGCGAGCGUGACGGCGCGAGCAGGUGCGAAAGCAGGUCAUAGUGAUCCGGUGGUUCUGAAUGGAAGGGCCAUCGCUCAACGGAUAAAAGGUACUCCGGGGAUAACAGGCUGAUACCGCCCAAGAGUUCAUAUCGACGGCGGUGUUUGGCACCUCGAUGUCGGCUCAUCACAUCCUGGGGCUGAAGUAGGUCCCAAGGGUAUGGCUGUUCGCCAUUUAAAGUGGUACGCGAGCUGGGUUUAGAACGUCGUGAGACAGUUCGGUCCCUAUCUGCCGUGGGCGCUGGAGAACUGAGGGGGGCUGCUCCUAGUACGAGAGGACCGGAGUGGACGCAUCACUGGUGUUCGGGUUGUCAUGCCAAUGGCACUGCCCGGUAGCUAAAUGCGGAAGAGAUAAGUGCUGAAAGCAUCUAAGCACGAAACUUGCCCCGAGAUGAGUUCUCCCUGAGACUUAGAGUCUCCUGAAGGAACGUUGAAGACGACGACGUUG